UACGAAGGGGGCUAGCGUUGUUCGGAAUCACUGGGCGUAAAGGGUGCGUAGGCGGGCAUUUAAGUCAGGGGUGAAAUCCCAGAGCUCAACUCUGGAACUGCCUUUGAUACUGGGUGUCUUGAGUAUGAUAGAGGUAUGUGGAACUCCGAGUGUAGAGGUGAAAUUCGUAGAUAUUCGGAAGAACACCAGUGGCGAAGGCGACAUACUGGAUCAUUACUGACGCUGAGGCUCGAAAGCGUGGGGAGCAAACAGG
RNAcentral lists this ribosomal RNA (253 nucleotides) under uncultured bacterium. RNAcentral describes it as "partial 16S ribosomal RNA". It matches the Rfam family "Bacterial small subunit ribosomal RNA", at positions 524 to 776 of the family's 1533-position model. The record is from RNAcentral.